RNAcentral lists this ribosomal RNA (518 nucleotides) under uncultured fungus. Its description in RNAcentral is "eukaryotic LSU rRNA". The stretch from base 186 to 335 matches the Rfam family "5.8S ribosomal RNA". Lineage: Eukaryota; Fungi. The record is from RNAcentral.
AAGUCGUAACAAGGUCUCCGUAGGUGAACCUGCGGAGGGAUCAUUACCGAGAGAGGCGCCUCGCGCGCCGCCUCCAACCCUUUGCGAACCGUACCGCGUUGCUCGGGUGGCCCCUAGCCGGCGCCCCGAGGACGUCUCACCAAACCCUGCGUCCCUGCGUCGGAGUAUGAUAUUGAAUCAAUCAAAACUUUCAACAACGGAUCUCUUGGUUCUGGCAUCGAUGAAGAACGCGGCGGAAUGCGAUAAGUAAUGUGAAUUGCAGAAUUCAGUGAAUCAUCGAAUCUUGAACGCACAUUGCGCCUUUGCAUUCCGAAGGGCAUGCCGUUCGAGCGUCAUUACACCACUCGAGCCUGGCUUGGUAUUGGCGGCGGGACCCCCCGCGCCUCUAAUUGUCCGGCUGGACGGUUCGAAUCUCAGACGUUGUGGUUCAUCAGGAUCGCUGGCGAGGACGACCGGACGCGCGUUAAACGUUCAUCACAGGUUGACCUCGGAUCGGGUAGGAUACCCGCUGAACUUAA